GACGAACGCUGGCGGCGUGCUUAACACAUGCAAGUCGAACGAGGAAUAGAGAGCUUGCUCUCUAUAGCCGAGUGGCGAACGGGUGAGUAACACGUGACCAACCUGUCUUUGGGUGAGGGACAACCUGGGGAAACCCGGGCUAAUACCGCAUAAUGUCUUUUUUUCUCCUGAGAAAGAGACCAAAGGGGGCCUCUGCUUGCAAGCUCUCGCCCGAUGAGGGGGUCGCGUCGUAUCAGCUUGUUGGUGAGGUAACGGCUCACCAAGGCUAUGACGCGUAGCGGGUCUGAGAGGACGAUCCGCCACAUUGGGACUGAGAUACGGCCCAGACUCCUACGGGAGGCAGCAGUGGGGAAUAUUGCGCAAUGGUCGAAAGACUGACGCAGCGACGCCGCGUGUGGGAGGAAGCCUUUCGGGGUGUAAACCACUGU
This 428-nucleotide ribosomal RNA is filed under the name uncultured bacterium. RNAcentral describes it as "bacterial SSU rRNA". It matches the Rfam family "Bacterial small subunit ribosomal RNA", at positions 28 to 436 of the family's 1533-position model. The record is from RNAcentral.